GACGAACGCUGGCGGCGUGCUUAACACAUGCAAGUCGAGCGGUAAGGCCCUUCGGGGUACACGAGCGGCGAACGGGUGAGUAACACGUGGGUGAUCUGCCUUGCACUCUGGGAUAAGCCUGGGAAACUGGGUCUAAUACCGGAUAUGACCUGCAGUUGCAUGACUGUGGGUGGAAAGAUUUAUCGGUGCGAGAUGAGCCCGCGGCCUAUCAGCUUGUUGGUGGGGUAAUGGCCUACCAAGGCGACGACGGGUAGCCGGCCUGAGAGGGCGACCGGCCACACUGGGACUGAGACACGGCCCAGACUCCUACGGGAGGCAGCAGUGGGGAAUAUUGCACAAUGGGCGGAAGCCUGAUGCAGCGACGCCGCGUGAGGGAUGACGGCCUUCGGGUUGUAAACCUCUUUCGACUCCGACGAAGCGAAAGUGACGGUAGGAGUAUAAGAAGCACCGGCCAACUACGUG
Molecule: ribosomal RNA, 462 nt
Filed under: Nocardia carnea
Lineage: Bacteria; Bacillati; Actinomycetota; Actinomycetes; Mycobacteriales; Nocardiaceae
Description: bacterial SSU rRNA
Rfam family: Bacterial small subunit ribosomal RNA
Source: RNAcentral